CUUCAGCGAGCCGAGCAGCAGCGGCCGGUCGGCGGGACGGCCCUGGCCGUAGGUGGCCAGCAGGGCCUGGGCCUC
Molecule: antisense RNA, 75 nt
Filed under: Streptomyces sp. AVP053U2
Lineage: Bacteria; Bacillati; Actinomycetota; Actinomycetes; Kitasatosporales; Streptomycetaceae
Description: ASpks TB sRNA
Rfam family: ASpks TB sRNA
Source: Rfam by way of RNAcentral